Molecule: non-coding RNA, 125 nt
Organism: Triticum aestivum (bread wheat)
Lineage: Eukaryota; Viridiplantae; Streptophyta; Magnoliopsida; Poales; Poaceae
Source: Rfam
UUUAUACUCCCUCCGUACGGAAAUACUUGUCGAAGAAAUGGAUAAAAAUGAAUGUAUUUCGAACUAAAAUAUAUCUAGAUACAUUCAUUCCUCCGACAAGUAUUUUUGGACGGAGGGAGUAGAUA